RNAcentral lists this transfer RNA (77 nucleotides) under Caulobacter sp. AP07. Its description in RNAcentral is "tRNA-OTHER". It matches the Rfam family "tRNA". Rfam says of the family: Transfer RNA (tRNA) molecules are approximately 80 nucleotides in length. Their secondary structure includes four short double-helical elements and three loops (D, anti-codon, and T loops). Lineage: Bacteria; Pseudomonadati; Pseudomonadota; Alphaproteobacteria; Caulobacterales; Caulobacteraceae. RNAcentral also lists the same sequence under 9 other names. The record is from RNAcentral.
GCGCCCUUAGCUCAGUUGGAUAGAGCACUCGCCUUCUAAGCGAGCGGUCGCUGGUUCGAAUCCAGCAGGGCGCGCCA